This 406-nucleotide ribosomal RNA is filed under the name Agathobacter rectalis. RNAcentral describes it as "bacterial SSU rRNA". It matches the Rfam family "Bacterial small subunit ribosomal RNA", at positions 1128 to 1533 of the family's 1533-position model. Lineage: Bacteria; Bacillati; Bacillota; Clostridia; Lachnospirales; Lachnospiraceae. The record is from RNAcentral.
CGGCCGGGCACUCUAGAGAGACUGCCAGGGAUAACCUGGAGGAAGGCGGGGAUGACGUCAAAUCAUCAUGCCCCUUAUGACUUGGGCUACACACGUGCUACAAUGGCGUAAACAAAGGGAAGCAAAGCUGUGAAGCCGAGCAAAUCUCAAAAAUAACGUCUCAGUUCGGACUGUAGUCUGCAACCCGACUACACGAAGCUGGAAUCGCUAGUAAUCGCAGAUCAGAAUGCUGCGGUGAAUACGUUCCCGGGUCUUGUACACACCGCCCGUCACACCAUGGGAGUUGGGAAUGCCCGAAGCCAGUGACCUAACCGAAAGGAAGGAGCUGUCGAAGGCAGGCUCGAUAACUGGGGUGAAGUCGUAACAAGGUAGCCGUAUCGGAAGGUGCGGCUGGAUCACCUCCUUU